RNAcentral lists this ribosomal RNA (507 nucleotides) under uncultured bacterium. Its description in RNAcentral is "partial 16S ribosomal RNA". It matches the Rfam family "Bacterial small subunit ribosomal RNA", at positions 28 to 507 of the family's 1533-position model. The record is from RNAcentral.
GACGAACGCUGGCGGCGUGCCUAAUACAUGCAAGUCGAACGCAUUUUCUUUCACCGUAGCUUGCUACACCGACAGAAAAUGAGUGGCGAACGGGUGAGUAACACUUGGUUAACCUGCCCAUCAGCGGGGGAUAACACUUGCAAACAGGUGCUAAUACCGCAUAAUUCCAUUUACUGCAUUGUAGAUGGAUGAAAGGCGCUUUUGCGUCACUGAUGGAUGGACCCGCGGUGCAUUAGAUAGUUGGUGGGGUAACGGCCUACCAAGGCUACGAUGCAUAGCCGGCCUGAGAGGGUGGUCCGCCACACUGGGACUUAGACACGGCCCAGACUCCCACGGGGAGCAGCAGGAGGGAAACUUCCGCAAUGGACGGAAGUCUGAACGAGCAAAGGCGCGUGAGUGAAGAAGGUUUUCGGAUCCUAAAACUCUGUUGUUAGAAAAGAACAAGGAGGAGAGUGGAAAGUGCAUCCCUUGACGGUAUCUAACCAGAAAGCCACGGCUAACUACGUG